RNAcentral lists this ribosomal RNA (407 nucleotides) under Verrucaria sp. 10 SPS-2021. RNAcentral describes it as "SSU rRNA". The stretch from base 71 to 407 matches the Rfam family "Bacterial small subunit ribosomal RNA", at positions 874 to 1257 of the family's 1533-position model. The record is from RNAcentral. Lineage: Eukaryota; Fungi; Ascomycota; Eurotiomycetes; Verrucariales; Verrucariaceae.
GAUUUCUUUUUCUUUCAUACUGUUUUAAUACAAUAAGCUAGUAUAUAAAUUAAAGUGUAAGCAUUCCACCUCAAGAGUAAUGUGGCAACGCAGAAACUGAAAUCAUUAGACCGUUUCUGAAACCAGUAGUGAAGUAUGUUAUUUAAUUCGAUAAUCCUCGAAAAACCUUACCACAAUUUGAAUGUUAAUUUUUAUUAAUUAAUACAAGCGUUGCACGGCUGUUUUCAGUUAAUGUCGUGAGAUUUGGUUAGAUCCAUUAAAUUAACGUAAGCCCUUGCUUUAUUUAUAAAUAAAGUAGUUCACCGCUAGAUUGGAUUUGAUAAAAGGGACUAAGACAAGUCAUCAUGGCCUUAAUAUUGUGGGCUAUAGACGUGCCACAUAUGCCUAGACAAAGGGAUGCAAAAAUG